Molecule: ribosomal RNA, 460 nt
Filed under: uncultured bacterium
Lineage: Bacteria
Description: partial 16S ribosomal RNA
Rfam family: Bacterial small subunit ribosomal RNA
Source: RNAcentral
CCUACGGGUGGCAGCAGUGAGGAAUAUUGGUCAAUGGGCGCGAGCCUGAACCAGCCAAGUAGCGUGAAGGAUGACUGCCCUACGGGUUGUAAACUUCUUUUAUAAAGGAAUAAAGUGAGUCACGUGUGCCUUUAUGUAUUUACUUUAUGAAUAAGGAUCGGCUAACUCCGUGCCAUCAGCCGCGGUAAUACGGAGGAUCCGAGCGUUAUCCGGAUUUGUUGGGUUUAAAGGGAGCGUAGACGGGUUGUUAAGUCAGUUGUGAAAGUUUGGGGCUCAACCGUAAAAUUGCAAUUGAUACUGGCAGUCUUGAGUAGAGUAGAGGGAGGUGGAAUUCGUGGUGUAGCGGUGAAAUGCGUAGAUAUCACGAAGAACUCCGAUUGCGAAGGCAGCUUACUAGACUAACACUGACGUUGAUGCUCGAAAGUGUGGGUAUCAAACAGGAUUAGAUACCCGAGUAGUC